Panonychus citri (citrus red mite) is the source of this 980-nucleotide non-coding RNA. NCBI's taxonomy places the organism in Eukaryota, Metazoa, Arthropoda, Arachnida, Trombidiformes, Tetranychidae. The record is from the annotation of a RefSeq genome assembly.
AAUAAUUAUAUUUUCCAUAUUUAUAAUAAUAAUAAUUUAUUAAUUUAAUUAAUUUAAUUAAUUUAUUAUACCUUUUGUAUAAGGAUAAUUAAAUAUCUAAAAUUAAAAUAUUUUUUCUCGAUAUAUAAAUAAAUAAAAAUAUUUAAUUAUAUUGUUAAAUAAAAAAUUUUUAUUAAUGUUAUAUUUAGGUAUAUAUACUAACUAGUUAUAAAUUUAAUAAAUUUAAGUAAAUCUUGAAUUAUAUACUUUUUAUUUAAUUUAAAUUAUAUUAAAAUUUUAUAAUAAUUAUAUUUUUUUAUAAAAAUUGUAAUUUAAUACUAAAGUUAAAAUUUAUAAAAAAUUUAUUUAUUUUUAAAAUUAAUUAAUUAGUAGAAAAAAAAAAUAUGUUUUUUUUUAAUAAACUUUUAUUUAUAAUUUAUUUUAAUUUUAAAGUUUAUUUAUAAAAUUUUAUCAAAAUAUAAAUUUAUAAUAAUUAUAAAUUAAUUCUGCUCAAUGAUUGUAUUAAAUAGCCGAAUUUUUUCGCUAAGGUAGCAUAAUCACUUGUUUAUUAAUUGUAAACUUGAAUGAAAGAACUAAUAUAAAAAAACUUUAUAAAAUAAAUUAAUUUGAAUUUUUAAUAUUAGUGAAAAUACUAAUAAAAUUUAUUAGACGGAAAGACCCUUAAAUCUUUUCUUUAAAAAAGUUUUUUGGGAUAAAAAAAAAUAAAAAUUUUUUUUUUUUUCUUGAUUAGAACUUUAAAAAAGAAUAAAUAUAUAGAUACUUUAGGGAUAACAGGAUAAAUUUUUAUUAAAGAACUAAUUUAUAAAAAUUUUAUUACCUCGAUGUUGGUUUUAAUAACUAAAAAUUGAAAAAAAUUUUUUAGUUAGUCUGUUCGACUAUUAAAUUUUAACUUGAACUGAGUUCAAAUCGGUGAAAGCCAGAUUGGUUCUAAUCUAUAAAUUAAAUUAAUUUUUUUAGUACGAAAGGAAAAUAAAAUUUGU